This 474-nucleotide ribosomal RNA is filed under the name uncultured bacterium. Its description in RNAcentral is "bacterial SSU rRNA". It matches the Rfam family "Bacterial small subunit ribosomal RNA", at positions 29 to 507 of the family's 1533-position model. The record is from RNAcentral.
AACUAACGCUGGCGGCGUGCCUAACACAUGCAAGUCGUGCGCGAAAGGGGCUUCGGCCCCGAGUAGAGCGGCAGACGGGUGAGUAACACGUGGGUAACCUGCCCAGAAGUGGGGGAUAACCUGGGGAAACUCGGGCUAAUACCGCAUACGUUCGCGGGGUUCUGCUCCGCGAGGAAAGCCGGCCUAUGCUUGCAAGCUGGCGCUUUUGGAGGGGCCCGCGGCUGAUUAGCUUGUUGGUGGGGUAAUGGCCUACCAAGGCGACGAUCAGUAGCCGGCCUGAGAGGGUGAACGGCCACACUGGAACUGAGACACGGUCCAGACUCCUACGGGAGGCAGCAGUGGGGAAUAUUGGACAAUGGGCGAAAGCCUGAUCCAGCAAUGCCGCGUGAGUGAUGAAGGCCUUAGGGUUGUAAAGCUCUUUUACCCGAGAUGAUAAUGACAGUAUCGGGAGAAUAAGCUCCGGCUAACUCCGUG